UGAAAUUAGGGCUACAUUUGUGUGGAUGCAUGAAUGGCCUUUACUUGUAAGCUGGGCUUUUUCUAAACAAUUUUAUGUUCUUGCAGGAAUUCUCACCGGAUGGACGAUUCAUUAUUAGUGCUGAUCGGGAUUUUAAAAUUCGUGUUACCCUGUUUCCAAAGAAGACUUUAGAUGGAGCUCAUGAGAUACAGAGCUUUUGCCUUGGUCAUUCUAAGUAUAUAGACCAAUGAAGACUAACAGUGAACUCUCUCAUCAAUUUGAAUCAAUUUGAGUUAAACACUUCUUUCUCUGUUAAUGUCUUUGUUAAAACAUGAUUUGUGAAUAUGUUAUUUUGUGAUUAAUGGUGAUUGGAU
Molecule: long non-coding RNA, 353 nt
Organism: Camellia sinensis
Lineage: Eukaryota; Viridiplantae; Streptophyta; Magnoliopsida; Ericales; Theaceae
Source: RefSeq, a predicted model, not a curated record